Molecule: long non-coding RNA, 1114 nt
Organism: Amphiprion ocellaris (clown anemonefish)
Lineage: Eukaryota; Metazoa; Chordata; Actinopteri; Pomacentridae
Source: Ensembl
CCACUCUGCAUUUCCACUCAGCUGUCUAAUGAAAUGGGUGUUUACUACCAUCGCCUGGACGUUUUUGGAAAUGCUACAGGAUUUUCUGAGGCUCUGAUAUGCUGAUAGUGUACUUCUAGUAAUACUGCCACAUGUUGACUCUACAUGUGCAGUAAAAACAAGAAGAUUUUCUAUUGUCCCUCUAAUUAGUGCUGCAUUAGAUACAAAAGUCUUUCCUGGUGUAGUAGAAACAUGUGUGCUCAGGUGAAUUCAGUAUUUGCUGGUCGCUGCUGAACACACCACUAUAUUGAACUGGGUUGACUCCGCCUAUGGUUGAAGGUAUUUAAAGCACCUGUGACAUCAUGGCUGCCUUUUGUCUUUGCUUCCUGGUUGCCACAUGGGCUCCUCUGUGACUCUGAGACCAAAGAACUACAGACUCUUCACAACCUGCUCAAACUCUUGGUACAGGACCUCACCACACGGGUCAAGAAGGUUUCUGUCUCAUUUCUACUCUGAAGCUCACCUUCUCCUGCUCAAACUGCUGACAAAUGUUUCUGCUGCUCUAAAGGCUGGUCUCCAGAACUUCCUAAAAACUCUCAAAGGCUCUUCUGCUGCAGGUUGCUUUGUAGAACUGUUGCAGAAAACCUCACUAAACCACAUGGAGGGGCCUCAAGAUAGUCGUCCAAAUGAAACCAUACAAAAACCAAACUAGCACAACCCAAACGCUAAAGUCUCCUGCAGCCUACCAGAGAACCUCUGAGAACAGAGAAUCAGGACAGGAACUCUUACCUUCUGGACAAUCAACAUCUGUUCUCAAACAAGAAUACAGAAUGUGUCUGACCAAAAAUCUCUAAAGACUCACUACAGCCAAGACAAAGACACAACUCAGCUGCACCAAAUCCACUAAUCACUGCACACAUUAGCACCAUGUGCUAACUGUGGCUAAAGAACCACAUUUACCAAGACAACUAUCCAGUACAAAGCCCUAAAACACACCAAGAAACACAUUAAAGACGAUUUUACUGCUGGAAGCUACAAGCCGACGCCUAAAGAACAAACUAAAGGAAUGGAGCCAAACCCGGUUCAGUGGUGAAGAGAAGCAGAGGAAAUGUUUGUCUGCAGCUAAAUAAAGCAG